AUUUAUAUAGUUUAAGAAAAAACAUUCCAUUUUCAGUGGAAAAAAAAGAUUAGUCUUUAUAAA
RNAcentral lists this transfer RNA (63 nucleotides) under Tuxedo cruralis. Its description in RNAcentral is "tRNA-Glu". Lineage: Eukaryota; Metazoa; Arthropoda; Insecta; Hemiptera; Miridae. The record is from RNAcentral.